Molecule: ribosomal RNA, 453 nt
Filed under: uncultured bacterium
Lineage: Bacteria
Description: partial 16S ribosomal RNA
Rfam family: Bacterial small subunit ribosomal RNA
Source: RNAcentral
AUGCACGCUGACAGAAUGCUUCACACAUGCAAGUCACCUUGAACUUCGGUUUGGGUGGCGGACGGGUGAGUAACGCGUAAAGAACUUGCCUCACAGAUAGGGACAACAUUUGGAAACGAAUGCUAAUACCUGAUAUUAUGAUUAUAUGGCAUCGUAUAAUUAUGAAAGCUAUAUGCGCUGUGAGAGAGCUUUGCGUCCCAUUAGCUAGUUGGAGAGGUAACGGCUCACCAAGGCGAUGAUGGGUAGCCGGCCUGAGAGGGUGAUCGGCCACAAGGGGACUGAGACACGGCCCUUACGCCUACGGGAGGCAGCAGUGGGGAAUAUUGGACAAUGGACCAAGAGUCUGAUCCAGCAAUUCUGUGUGCACGAUGAAGUUUUUCGGAAUGUAAAGUGCUUUCAGUUGGGAAGAAAAAAAUGACGGUACCAACAGAAGAAGUGACGGCUAAAUACGUG